Molecule: ribosomal RNA, 301 nt
Filed under: uncultured bacterium
Lineage: Bacteria
Description: partial 16S ribosomal RNA
Rfam family: Bacterial small subunit ribosomal RNA
Source: RNAcentral
CAGCCGCCGCGGGAAUACGUAGGGUGCGAGCGUUGAUCGGAAUUACUGGGCGUAAAGCGUGCGCAGGCGGUUGUGUAAGACAGGUGUGAAAUCCCCGGGCUUAACCUGGGAACUGCGCUUGUGACUGCACAGCUAGAGUAUGGCAGAGGGGAGUGGAAUUCCACGUGUAGCAGUGAAAUGCGUAGAGAUGUGGAGGAACACCGAUGGCGAAGGCAGCCCCCUGGGCCAAUACUGACGCUCAUGCACGAAAGCGUGGGGAGCAAACAGGAUUAGAUACCCCGGUAGUCCCUGUCUCUUUACA